GCAGUGGUGGUUCAGUGGUAGAGUCCUUGCCUUCCAUGUGGAGACCAGGGUUCAAUUCCCAGCCAGUGCA
RNAcentral lists this transfer RNA (70 nucleotides) under Loxodonta africana (African savanna elephant). It matches the Rfam family "tRNA". Rfam says of the family: Transfer RNA (tRNA) molecules are approximately 80 nucleotides in length. Their secondary structure includes four short double-helical elements and three loops (D, anti-codon, and T loops). The record is from Rfam by way of RNAcentral. Lineage: Eukaryota; Metazoa; Chordata; Mammalia; Proboscidea; Elephantidae.